UGUUCUGUUUCAUUUUUUCUAUUUUCUAUUUCCUUUGUUUUUUCUGUUUCAUUUUUGAGACCUAGUCUUGUCGAUGUCCAGGCUGGAGUGUAGUGGCAUGAUCACAGCUCAAUGGAACUCCUGGGCUCAAGGGAUCCUCCUGCCCCAACCUUUUGAAUAGCUGGGACUACAGGCUCUUGCCUGUAGCACUCAACUAAUUUAAAAAAUUUUUUUGUAGCGGCACUGAGGCGCUGCGGCGGCGGUGGUGGUGGCUGCUCGUCCUAGACUGGCGGGGACGGGGGUCUGGAGGAUGGGGACGGGUGGAACAACGGGCCGGUGAGGUGCAACCGCUGCCGUCUCCGCCGUCGCUGGGGCAGCUGCCGCGUUGGUCGCCUCAGGCACUGCCGCUCACUUUCCGACCGUCGCCUCUCCUCCCGAUAUCCCGCCCUGAGGAGGCUGAGGCGGAAUAGCGGCAGGCGGCGAGGGGGACGGACCGGCCCCGCGGUGGCCGCAGUGACAGCCCGGCCCCGGCCCUCCGCCCGCUCUCGCCUCGGAGCCCGCAGCCACGAUGAACCCGGGCGGCGGCAGCCCGUCGGCCGCGGCUAACUACCUGCUCUGUACCAACUGCCGGAAAGUGCUGCGGAAGGAUAAAAGAAUCAGAGUAUGUCAACCCUUGACAAGAGGACCAAGUGCCUUUAUUCCAGAGAUGGAAGUUGUCCAAGCAAACACAGUGGUUGAAUGUACUAACUUUCUUGUGGAAGAAUACUCUGCAUAUGGUCGUCUGUACAACAUCACCCAGGUCAUGAGUUUACACACUCAGUAUCUGGAGUCUUUCUUGCGGAGCCAGUUUUACAUGUUAGGCAUGGAUGGUCCCCUUUCUCUACCAUACAGGCACUAUAUUGCAAUAAUGGCUGCAGCUAGACAUCAGUGUUCUUACUUAAUAAACAUGCAUGUGGGUGAAUUAUUAAAGACUGGAGGUAUUGCUGAGUGGUUGAAUGGUUUGGCGUAUGUGCCACAAAGACUGAAAAAUCUUAAUGAAAUUAAUAAGCUGCUAGCACACCGACCUUGGCUGAUCACAAAAGAGCACAUUCAGAAACUUGUCAAAACUGGAGAAAAUAAUUGGUCUUUGCCUGAACUGGUACAUGCUGUGGUCCUACUGGCACAUUAUCAUGCUUUGGCAAGCUUUGUUUUUGGUAGUGGUAUCAAUCCAGAGAGAGAUCCAGAAAUUUCCAAUGGAUUCAGGCAAAUAUCAGUCAACAAUUUCUGCGUUUGUGAUCUUGCUAAUGACAACAACAUAGAGAAUGCAUCCCUUUCAGGAAGCAACUUUGGAAUUGUUGAUUCUCUAAGUGAGCUAGAGGCCUUAAUGGAAAGGAUGAAAAGACUUCAAGAAGAAAGGGAAGAUGAAGAGGCAUCUCAGGAAGAAAUGAGCACUCGUUUUGAGAAGGAGAAGAAAGGAUGUCUUUUUGUGGUCUCUAGAGAGAUACUUUUCAUUCAUUUCCUCAUUCAGAGUUUGAAGAUGACAUGAUUAUAACAUCUGAUGUCUCUUGAUAUAUUGAAGACCCUGGUUUUGGGUAUGAAGACUUUGCCAGAUGAGGAGAAGAGCAUUUGCCAACAUUCCGAGCUCAGGACUAUACCUGGGAAAAUCAUGGGUUCUGCCUGGUGAACAGACUUUGUUCUGACAUUGGGCAUCUUCUUGAUGAAACAUUUUGGAUGGUCUACAGUCUCACAUAUAACACUAUGGCCACCCAUGAGGAUGUUGACACAACCAUGCUGCGCAGAGCUUUAUUUAACUAUGUUCACUGUAUGUUUGGAAUCAGGUAUGAUGACUAUGAUUAUGGAGAAGUUAAUCAAUUACUUGAAAGAAACUUGAAGGUUUACAUUAAGACAGUGACCUGCUAUCCUGAGAGAACUACAAAGCGCAUAUAUGAUAGUUACUGGCGGCAAACUCAAACACUCAAAAAAAGUUCAUGUCAAUCUACUUUUAAUGGAAGCACGAAUGCAAGCUGAACUUCUUUAUGCUCUUCGUGCCAUAACUCAGCAUUUGACCUGAAGUAUCACCCAAGGAAAAUGUCAUACAUGUGUAAAAACCUUUCACAUAAAAUAAACAUCAGAAGCUAUUUGUGAUAUAGCAUCAGAAAUGAUUCAGUUAUCUAGUUUCAAAGUUUCGCCGUUUGUUUUUCGUUUUUGUUUUUUGCGGCUGUAAUGUGCAGUGAUGUGUUUCAUUUUCCUUGAUGUUUAACAUUACUAACAAUUGCAAAAAUAAUACUGAGGAGCACUAUUUUGCAUUGUUUAUAGCUGGAGUUUUGGAUACUGAUCAUAAAUCACAAAGCUGGCUUAUUAAUGCUUAACUUCAGUGCUUUUGGGUUGUGUGUAUGUGUAUUUUUUCUCCCCCCAACCCCGCCCUUUUUUUUUUUUUUUUUUUUUAACAAUAAUGACAAGCGCUUACAAUCUGCUCAAGCAAUUGUUUUUCAGAUAUUGGAAUUCAGCAAAGAAUGACCUCUCUGGCCAUUCUAAAAUUUUAAGGUUGUGUCCUAAAUCUGGUGGAGGAAAAGCAUGCGCUGUUGAACCAAGCUGCUCACUGGACACCUAUUUGUGUCCCCAGGAGAUUAUUUGUCAGGCACCGUUUUUUUUUGUUUGUUUGUUCAUUUGUUGUUGUUUUACUGCUAUUGGUGAUAACAUGAAAUGUGAUAUAGCCAUUGUCCAUAAUUUAAUGUGAAAUUAAUCAUGAUGAAUUCUAUAGCAUGCUACUGAAAUGCUAAAUUCAGCUAUUUUCUUUCUCUUCUAAAACAGAAGUUUCAGUUUUCCUAUCAGAUGUAUAUAUUAAAAGUGGAAUUAUACACAAUCCUAUCACUGACAGUAAUCCUCAGUCAUCUUAAAUAAUCAGCGCUCACAGUGCUGCUUAUAGUUCAUUCAGUUGGCACAUAUAAACCUGUACCCACACAAGACUGAUCAAAAAUUUUCUUUGCACAUUUUUCCCUUCUCAUAGUUUUUCUAUAUUUUGUUAAGCAAAGGAAGGUUAAUAUGCCUAUUUUUUUCCUGUUAGGCUUUUAGAAAUUAUUUUCCAUGAUUUUUCUUCUUAUAAUAGGUUAGACAGUUUAUUAUUCAAAGGUAAAAAUUGUGUUUCUAUGCAUUAAUGUAAUUGAACAAAAAAACCAGAGUGCAAUAUGUUCAAAAAAUACUCAACUAAACUUUCCCCGUCA
Callithrix jacchus (white-tufted-ear marmoset) is the source of this 3179-nucleotide non-coding RNA. The record is from RefSeq and is a predicted model, not a curated record. Lineage: Eukaryota; Metazoa; Chordata; Mammalia; Primates; Cebidae.